Molecule: long non-coding RNA, 679 nt
Organism: Misgurnus anguillicaudatus (oriental weatherfish)
Lineage: Eukaryota; Metazoa; Chordata; Actinopteri; Cypriniformes; Cobitidae
Source: RefSeq, a predicted model, not a curated record
AUUAUCUUCUCCUCAUCAUCUUCAUCCUCCUUUACUCCAGAAGCUGCGAUGGCCGGUGGUGUGGAUGAGGGCCGGGGCCCAUCGGAGGUCGAGGGUCGUCUCAGUUUGACCGGCGGCGUCUGAGAGUUAAUCGGUCUUCCACUCAGCUGCACCUGCUGUCUCAUUUUAAGCCUGACUGUGGUGUCUCAGCCCUGGAAGACCUCCUACAUUGAUUUGGCUUGAAAAAGACGAAAAUGUAGGCCAAUGGACCAGCAGAAGUCUUCUGAAGUUUCCUCUGUUGGAGGGUGCACCGAUAAUAGAGAUGGGAGGUGGUCUGGUGUGAAUAAAAUCACCCGCAGUGGUGUUUUUAGACGGCCGAGGCAGUCAGACGAGUAAAUAUACAGAGCAAAUAAAAGGAAAAGGAGAGAUUCAAUAAGAAACGAAGCUGAUGAUGAGACAGAAGGAGAGAGGAUGGAUGAGGGAAAGACCGGCAAACCAUAAGAAUUUCUAAAUAACACUUCUCAAAACACAGCAAAAAGUAGAUUGAUGUGUCUGGAAGGAAAAGCGAUUUGUGAUUUCCCAUGCAAGAUAAAAAUUGUAAAUAUACCUGUGCUGGAGGCAAGACUCUGCUUCCCAUAAUGCACUGCGGCAAGCAUAAAUCAUUCAAAUUAUUGCUUUACUGCGUUAUUUAUAAUGGUGU